RNAcentral lists this transfer RNA (74 nucleotides) under Endomicrobium sp. Its description in RNAcentral is "tRNA-Pro". It matches the Rfam family "tRNA". From Rfam's summary of the family: Transfer RNA (tRNA) molecules are approximately 80 nucleotides in length. RNAcentral also lists the same sequence under 2 other names. Lineage: Bacteria; Pseudomonadati; Elusimicrobiota; Endomicrobiia; Endomicrobiales; Endomicrobiaceae. The record is from RNAcentral.
CGGGGCGUGGCUCAGUUGGCUAGAGCACACGGUUCGGGACCGUGAGGUCGCUGGUUCAAGUCCAGUCGCCCCGA